UACGUAGGGGGCAAGCGUUGUCCGGAUUUAUUGGGCGUAAAGAGCGUGUAGGCGGCCUGGUAGGUCAGCUGUGAAAACUCGAGGCUCAACCUCGAGACGUCGGUUGAAACCACCUGGCUAGAGUCCGGAAGAGGAGAGUGGAAUUCCCGGUGUAGCGGUGAAAUGCGCAGAUAUCGGGAAGAACACCCGUGGCGAAGGCGGCUCUCUGGGACGGUACUGACGCUGAGACGCGAAAGCGUGGGGAGCGAACAGG
RNAcentral lists this ribosomal RNA (253 nucleotides) under uncultured bacterium. RNAcentral's name for it is "partial 16S ribosomal RNA". It matches the Rfam family "Bacterial small subunit ribosomal RNA", at positions 524 to 776 of the family's 1533-position model. The record is from RNAcentral.